This 502-nucleotide ribosomal RNA is filed under the name uncultured bacterium. RNAcentral describes it as "partial 16S ribosomal RNA". It matches the Rfam family "Bacterial small subunit ribosomal RNA", at positions 28 to 523 of the family's 1533-position model. The record is from RNAcentral.
GAUGAACGCUAGCGGCAGGCCUAACACAUGCAAGUCGAGGGGCAGCACAGAAACAGCAAUGUUUUGGUGGCGACCGGCGGACGGGUGCGUAACGCGUAUGCAACCUACCUUUAACAGGGGGAUAACGGAGAGAAAUUUCCACUAAUACCCCAUAACAUCGAUCAAGGCAUCUUGAUUGGUUGAAAACUCCGGUGGUUAAAGAUGGGCAUGCGUUGUAUUAGGUAGUUGGUGAGGUAAUGGCUCACCAAGCCUACGAUACAUAGGGGGACUGGGAGGUUAGCCCCCCACACUGGUACUGAGACACGGACCAGACUCCUACGGGAGGCAGCAGUGAGGAGUAUUGGUCAAUGGGCGCAAGCCUGAACCAGCCAUGCCGCGUGCAGGAUGACGGCUCUAUGAGUUGUAAACUGCUUUUGUACGAGGGUAAAGUGGGUUACGUGUAACCUUUUGAAAGUAUCGUACGAAUAAGGAUCGGCUAACUCCGUGCCAGCAGCCGCCGUAA